AAUCAACGCUGGCGGCGUGCCUCAGACAUGCAAGUCGAACGCGAAAGCCCCCUUCGGGGGGCAAGUAGAGUGGCGCACGGGUGAGUAACACGUAGGUAAUCUACCUUUGGAUGGGGAAUAACCACCGGAAACGGCGGCUAAUACCGCAUAAUGCAGCGGCACCUAAUGGUGACAGUUGUUAAAGCGGGGGAUCGUAAGACCUCGCGUCUGAAGAGGAGCCUGCGGCGGAUUAGCUAGUUGGUAAGGUAACGGCUUACCAAGGCGAUGAUCCGUAGCCGGCCUGAGAGGGCGGUCGGCCACACUGACACUGACAUACGGGUCAGACUCCUACGGGAGGCAGCAGUCGGGAAUUUUGGGCAAUGGGCGAAAGCCUGACCCAGCAACGCCGCGUGAAGGAUGAAAUCCCUCGGGAUGUAAACUUCGCAAGAACGGGAAGAAUAAGUAAGAGCUAACAUCUCUUAUGAUGACGGUACUGUUUGUAAGCUCCGGCUAACUCCGUGC
Molecule: ribosomal RNA, 501 nt
Filed under: uncultured bacterium
Lineage: Bacteria
Description: bacterial SSU rRNA
Rfam family: Bacterial small subunit ribosomal RNA
Source: RNAcentral